This 253-nucleotide ribosomal RNA is filed under the name uncultured bacterium. RNAcentral describes it as "partial 16S ribosomal RNA". It matches the Rfam family "Bacterial small subunit ribosomal RNA", at positions 524 to 776 of the family's 1533-position model. The record is from RNAcentral.
UACGAAGGGGGCUAGCGUUGUUCGGAAUUACUGGGCGUAAAGCGCACGUAGGCGGAUAUUUAAGUCAGGGGUGAAAUCCCGGGGCUCAACCCCGGAACUGCCUUUGAUACUGGGUAUCUCGAGUCCGAGAGAGGUGAGUGGAAUUCCGAGUGUAGAGGUGAAAUUCGUAGAUAUUCGGAGGAACACCAGUGGCGAAGGCGGCUCACUGGCUCGGUACUGACGCUGAGGUGCGAAAGCGUGGGGAGCAAUCAGG